This 485-nucleotide ribosomal RNA is filed under the name uncultured bacterium. RNAcentral describes it as "partial 16S ribosomal RNA". It matches the Rfam family "Bacterial small subunit ribosomal RNA", at positions 30 to 507 of the family's 1533-position model. The record is from RNAcentral.
UUGCACGCUGGCGGCAUGCCUUACACAUGCACGUCGAACGGCAGCACGGGUGCUUGCACCUGGUGGCGAGUGGCGAACGGGUGAGUAAUACAUCGGAACAUGUCCUGUAGUGGGGGAUAGCCCGGCGAAAGCCGGAUUAAUACCGCAUACGAUCCACGGAUGAAAGCGGGGGACCUUCGGGCCUCGCGCUAUAGGGUUGGCCGAUGGCUGAUUAGCUAGUUGGUGGGGUAAAGGCCUACCAAGGCGACGAUCAGUAGCUGGUCUGAGAGGACGACCAGCCACACUGGGACUGAGACACGGCCCAGACUCCUACGGGAGGCAGCAGUGGGGAAUUUUGGACAAUGGGCGAAAGCCUGAUCCAGCAAUGCCGCGUGUGUGAAGAAGGCCUUCGGGUUGUAAAGCACUUUUGUCCGGAAAGAAAUCCUUGACUCUAAUACAGUCGGGGGAUGACGGUACCGGAAGAAUAAGCACCGGCUAACUACGUG